CUCAUCAAAUUCUCUUUAGAAAAGAUAGUGGGUUGGUGAUUUGAAGAAAGAGGCAGGGGCAGAGGCAGAGCUUAAUUUAUGUAGCUGGGUAUUCCGGUUAUGUCUAUCGCCGGCGGCUGGAGGCUUUUGCACUCUUCUCUGGUUGUGAUUUUGGUCAUUUCUGUGUUACAGAUUUGGGUCUGCUGUGACUGCAAAGCAGGCGCAAUACGGGUUUUCCCAGGACACACUAAUGUAUUAUCAAAGGUGGAGGCAGAGAGCAGCAACACGAUGCAGAGCAAGAGCAACAGAAGCAGAGAGGCCCUGUUCCAUAAGUACUUCGGUGGCAGUGUCAGAGCUUCUAACUUCAACAAAACAGAGCAAGGGUAUGAAGACAGCAAACGAAGAGUGCCCAGUUGCCCAGAUCAACUCCACAACUAAUUUAUGGAGGAUCCAGAAAUGGACAAUGAUGAUCAUGGAUCAUGAUGUGCAGUGUACAGAGAGAAGUUGAGAAAUUUGGUUUUGCAGUGACCAGCUUAUAUUUUGUACUACCUGCUAUAGCUAGAAUCUCCGUAUCUACAACUUUUCAAGAUCCUCUCUUUCGUUUUUUAGCUUUUGCUUUUGGGAUCAGAAGAUCGAA
Molecule: non-coding RNA, 616 nt
Organism: Prunus avium (sweet cherry)
Lineage: Eukaryota; Viridiplantae; Streptophyta; Magnoliopsida; Rosales; Rosaceae
Source: RefSeq, a predicted model, not a curated record